GAACCGGUUCUCGUUCGAUCACCGAAGUCAAGCAUCAUUGGGCGCGGUCAGUACUUGGGAGGGUGACCACCCAGGAACAUCGCGUGCCGUCG
RNAcentral lists this ribosomal RNA (92 nucleotides) under Caerostris darwini. The record is from RNAcentral. Lineage: Eukaryota; Metazoa; Arthropoda; Arachnida; Araneae; Araneidae.